AGCAGUAGCCGCGGGAAUACGAAGGUCCCGAGCGUUGUUCGGAAUCACUGGGCGUAAAGGGAGCGUAGGCGGCGUGGUAAGUCAGAUGUGAAAUCCCGGGGCUCAACCCCGGAACUGCAUCCGAUACUGCCAUGCUAGAGGAUUGGAGAGGUAGCUGGAAUUCUUGGUGUAGCAGUGAAAUGCGUGGAGAUCAAGAGGAACACUCGUGGCGAAAGCGAGCUACUGGACAAUAACUGACGCUGAGGCUCGAAGGCCAGGGUAGCGAAAGGGAUUAGAUACCCCAGUAGUCCCUGUCUCUUAUAC
This 303-nucleotide ribosomal RNA is filed under the name uncultured bacterium. RNAcentral describes it as "partial 16S ribosomal RNA". It matches the Rfam family "Bacterial small subunit ribosomal RNA", at positions 507 to 807 of the family's 1533-position model. The record is from RNAcentral.